GUAGGUGGCAAGCGUUGUCCGGAAUUAUUGGGCGUAAAGCGCGCGCAGGCGGUUCUUUAAGUCUGAUGUGAAAGCCCACGGCUCAACCGUGGAGGGUCAUUGGAAACUGGAGGACUUGAGUACAGAAGAGGAAAGCGGAAUUCCACGUGUAGCGGUGAAAUGCGUAGAGAUGUGGAGGAACACCAGUGGCGAAGGCGGCUUUCUGGUCUGUAACUGACGCUGAGGCGCGAAAGCGUGGGGAGCAAACAGGAUUAGAUACCCUGGUAGUCCACGCCGUAAACGAUGAGUGCUAAGUGUUAGGGGGGUUUCCGCCCCCCUUAGUGCUGCAGCUAACGCAUUAAGCACUCCGCCUGGGAUACGGCCGCAAGGCUG
This 372-nucleotide ribosomal RNA is filed under the name uncultured organism. RNAcentral describes it as "partial 16S ribosomal RNA". It matches the Rfam family "Bacterial small subunit ribosomal RNA", at positions 527 to 896 of the family's 1533-position model. The record is from RNAcentral.